RNAcentral lists this long non-coding RNA (280 nucleotides) under Coffea arabica (coffee). RNAcentral's name for it is "long non-coding RNA (CARA_LNC002552)". Lineage: Eukaryota; Viridiplantae; Streptophyta; Magnoliopsida; Gentianales; Rubiaceae. The record is from RNAcentral.
CUUAGCUGCGGUUGGAGCAGUAUCAGUCCAACUUUAUUAGUAGGGGUUGAUCGGGUCGAGUCCACUUUGAUUGGCAACUUUAUUUUGGUGGGAGUGGGGGUCGGCAACGGUUAUAAUAACUACAUCGUCUUUUUGGUGGGAUGAUGCAGCGACUGUAAAACGGUCUGUUGCAAAUUGGAGGCCUGUGUAAUGGCCUAUAACCUAUGGGUCCACGGCCUACAGCUUUAGGAGCAGAGUUAGUAGGAGAACUUGUACCAGUUGCCUUGGGAGCACGACCUGG